This 394-nucleotide ribosomal RNA is filed under the name uncultured bacterium. Its description in RNAcentral is "partial 16S ribosomal RNA". It matches the Rfam family "Bacterial small subunit ribosomal RNA", at positions 338 to 729 of the family's 1533-position model. The record is from RNAcentral.
CCUACGGGUGGCAGCAGUGAGGAAUAUUGGUCAAUGGCCGGAAGGCUGAACCAGCCAAGUAGCGUGAGGGAGGAAUGCGCAGAGCGUUGUAGACCUCUUUUGUCGGGGGAUAAAACGAGGGACUCGUCCCGUCCUGUGUGUACCCUGUGAAAAAGGAUCGGCUAACUCCGUGCCAGCAGCCGCGGUAAUACGGAGGAUCCGAGCGUUAUCCGGAUUUAUUGGGUUUAAAGGGUGCGUAGGGGGGGUGUUAAGUCAGUUGUGAAAGUUUGCGGCUCAACCGUACAAGUGCAGUGGGAACUGGCAGCCUUGAGUACAGUAGAGGCAGGCGGAAUUCGCGGUGUAGCGGUGAAAUGCUUAGAUAUCGCGAAGAACUCCGAUUGCGAAGGCAGCGUAC